This 408-nucleotide ribosomal RNA is filed under the name uncultured bacterium. RNAcentral describes it as "partial 16S ribosomal RNA". It matches the Rfam family "Bacterial small subunit ribosomal RNA", at positions 28 to 526 of the family's 1533-position model. The record is from RNAcentral.
GACGAACGCUGGCGGCGUGCUUAACACAUGCAAGUCGAACGAAGUGGCGGACGGGUGAGUAACGCGUAAUCAACCUGCCCUUCAGAGGGGGACAACAGUUGGAAACGACUGAUAAUACCGCAUACUGAAGGAGGGGAUGGCGUGGGAUUAGCUAGUUGGGGGGGUAACGGGCCACCAAGGCGAGGAUCAGUAGCCGGGCUGGGAUGAGGAACGGCCAAAUUGGGACUGAGACACGGCCCCGACUCCUAAGGGAGGCAGCAGGGGGGAAUCUUCCGCAAUGGACGGAAGUCUGGCGGAGCAAAGCCGGGUGAGUGAUGACGGCCUUCGGGGUGGAAAGCUCUGUUAAUCGGGACGCGGUACCGGAAUAGAAAGCCACGGCUAACUACGUGCCAGCAGCCGCGGUAAUAC